UCUAAUAUGGCAGAUUAGUGCAAUGGAUUUAAGCUCCAUAUAUAAAAAGUCAUCUUUUUUGUUAGAA
RNAcentral lists this transfer RNA (67 nucleotides) under Perlomyia isobeae. RNAcentral's name for it is "tRNA-Leu". The record is from RNAcentral. Lineage: Eukaryota; Metazoa; Arthropoda; Insecta; Plecoptera; Leuctridae. RNAcentral also lists the same sequence under 1 other name.